This 253-nucleotide ribosomal RNA is filed under the name uncultured bacterium. RNAcentral's name for it is "partial 16S ribosomal RNA". It matches the Rfam family "Bacterial small subunit ribosomal RNA", at positions 524 to 776 of the family's 1533-position model. The record is from RNAcentral.
UACGAAGGGGGCUAGCGUUGCUCGGAAUUACUGGGCGUAAAGCGCACGUAGGCGGCUUUCUAAGUCGGGGGUGAAAUCCUGGAGCUCAACUCCAGAACUGCCUUCGAUACUGGAGAGCUCGAGUCCGGGAGAGGUGAGUGGAACUGCGAGUGUAGAGGUGAAAUUCGUAGAUAUUGGGAAGAACACCGGUGGCGAAGGCGGCUCACUGGCUCGUAACUGACGCUCAUGCACGACAGCGUGGGGAUCAAACAGG